This 239-nucleotide unclassified non-coding RNA is filed under the name Ascomycota sp. RNAcentral describes it as "partial contains small subunit ribosomal RNA, internal transcribed spacer 1, and 5.8S ribosomal RNA". The stretch from base 1 to 47 matches the Rfam family "Eukaryotic small subunit ribosomal RNA", at positions 1785 to 1831 of the family's 1831-position model. Lineage: Eukaryota; Fungi; Ascomycota. The record is from RNAcentral.
AAAGUCGUAACAAGGUCUCCGUUGGUGAACCAGCGGAGGGAUCAUUAGAGAGUGUUCCACGCUCCCAACCCUGUGUGAACUUACCCGUUGCCUGGGCGGCAGCCCCCCCGGGGAGAUGGGCCUAGCCUGUCGCCUCUGAGGGGGGCCCGUCGAGGGACCAAACCAUGCAGAGUGUUAGGCAUUCAGAGCAGAGACAGUAGAAUGAGUCAAAACUUUCAACAACGGAUCUCUUGGUUCUG